GACGAACGCUGUCGGCGUGCUUAACACAUGCAAGUCGAACGGAAAGGCCCUGCUUUUGUGGGGUGCUCGAGUGGCGAACGGGUGAGUAACACGUGAGUAACCUGCCCUUGACUUUGGGAUAACUUCAGGAAACUGGGGCUAAUACCGGAUAGGAGCUCCUGCUGCAUGGUGGGGGUUGGAAAGUUUCGGCGGUUGGGGAUGGACUCGCGGCUUAUCAGCUUGUUGGUGGGGUAGUGGCUUACCAAGGCUUUGACGGGUAGCCGGCCUGAGAGGGUGACCGGCCACAUUGGGACUGAGAUACGGCCCAGACUCCUACGGGAGGCAGCAGUGGGGAAUAUUGCACAAUGGGCGGAAGCCUGAUGCAGCAACGCCGCGUGCGGGAUGACGGCCUUCGGGUUGUAAACCGCUUUCGCCUGUGACGAAGCGUGAGUGACGGUAAUGGGUAAAGAAGCACCGGCUAACUACGUGCCAGCAGCCGCGGUGAUACGUAGGGUGCGAGCGUUGUCCGGAUUUAUUGGGCGUAAAGGGCUCGUAGGUGGUUGAUCGCGUCGGAAGUGUAAUCUUGGGGCUUAACCCUGAGCGUGCUUUCGAUACGGGUUGACUUGAGGAAGGUAGGGGAGAAUGGAAUUCCUGGUGGAGCGGUGGAAUGCGCAGAUAUCAGGAGGAACACCAGUGGCGAAGGCGGUUCUCUGGGCCUUUCCUGACGCUGAGGUGCGAAAGCGUGGGGAGCGAACAGGCUUAGAUACCCUGGUAGUCCACGCUGUAAACGGUGGGUACUAGGUGUGGGGUCCAUUCCACGGGUUCCGUGCCGUAGCUAACGCUUUAAGUACCCCGCCUGGGGAGUACGGCCGCAAGGCUAAAACUCAAAGGAAUUGACGGGGCCCCGCACAAGCGGCGGAGCAUGCGGAUUAAUUCGAUGCAACGCGUAGAACCUUACCUGGGUUUGACAUGGAUCGGGAGUGCUCAGAGAUGGGUGUGCCUCUUUUGGGGUCGGUUCACAGGUGGUGCAUGCCUGUCGUCAGCUCGUGUCGUGAGAUGUUGGGUUAAGUCCCGCAACGAGCGCAACCCUUGUUCACUGUUGCCAGCACGUUAUGGUGGGGACUCAGUGGAGACCGCCGGGGUCAACUCGGAGGAAGGUGGGGAUGACGUCAAGUCAUCAUGCCCCUUAUGUCCAGGGCUUCACGCAUGCUACAAUGGCUGGUACAGAGAGUGGCGAGCCUGUGAGGGUGAGCGAAUCUCGGAAAGCCGGUCUCAGUUCGGAUUGGGGUCUGCAACUCGACCUCAUGAAGUCGGAGUCGCUAGUAAUCGCAGAUCAGCAACGCUGCGGUGAAUACGUUCCCGGG
Molecule: ribosomal RNA, 1343 nt
Filed under: uncultured bacterium
Lineage: Bacteria
Description: 16S ribosomal RNA
Rfam family: Bacterial small subunit ribosomal RNA
Source: RNAcentral